RNAcentral lists this long non-coding RNA (1337 nucleotides) under Callithrix jacchus (white-tufted-ear marmoset). RNAcentral describes it as "lncRNA (ENSCJAG00000078553.1)". Lineage: Eukaryota; Metazoa; Chordata; Mammalia; Primates; Cebidae. The record is from RNAcentral.
AAGGGAGUCUGGAAACUGUAGGUUUUAGCUUGCUAGUCUCUUCAGUACAGGAAGGUACACUAGAAAGUUGGAAUAGACAUACAUUCUGCAUCUUCCAUCCCAUAGAUACCUCACUUAAUAUUUGCAGAAAACCUAGAAAGCGAUAGGAGAGGUGUUAGCCUCAUUCAGCACGGAAGAAAAGAGAGGAGUGAUGAGGCUAGAAGAGAAUGGAGGGGAGACAGACCCGGGACUUGCUUUGAGCAAGUGAUAUUUGUGUUGGGGCUGAAGAGUGUCGCGGGUUAAACUAGCUGAAGGGCUGAGCAGGAGCAAUAUUCUAGGCAGGAGAAAUAGCAUGCCUAAAAGUCCUGAGGCUAGAGGGAAUGUGAUACAGCCACGGAACUGAAAGAAAAAGGGGCCAUGACUGUAGAGGGGAAGUAGUGGCUGCAAAAUGAGGCUAGAGAAGCACCAGAAAGAAAAACAAGCCCUGCAGGCCCCACUAAGAAUUUGGUCUUUUUUCUAGAGCAAUGGGAAGGCAGUCAAUGGUUUAUGGAUGGGGGAGGUGUGUGUGGGACUUGAUCAUGUUUGCACUACAGGGUCACUGGCUGUUCUGUGUCUCCUGACUCCAUGACUGUACUCACCAGAGUCCACAAUUUGACACCAAGUGGUCACUCUCCUGUAUUACUAAAGUGGUUUCAUUUUUGCAUCAUUCCUACAUCUUCACUCCAAGCAACAAGAGAAAAAACAGCAGCAAGAGGAGGUCCACGAAUCUGGGAAGGUUUCAGAGAUGACAAGGAAAAUCUUCAUUACCAUUUCAAGAACUGGGAACAAAGAAAAAUCCCAUUCCAGGACACAGGGAGGAAAUGCUCAUAGUUGAAUAGAAACUGUUGAAGAUUACCAUGGGAAUGCACCUGUGAACUUCCAGGGGGCUGUGCCCCCCAUCAGGUCAGUUUUCUUUAUGUCAUUCACAAUUUCCAGGGAUCAUGUCCAUGAUAAAGAACAAGAACUUUUUCACAGGCUACUGAAGCAUAUGUUUGACUUCCUAAAGAGCCAGCCGGGCACAAUGGCUCACACAUGUAAUCCCAGCAUUUUGGAAAGCUGAGGCGGGUGGAUCACCUGAGGUCAGGGGUUCAAACUAGCCUGGCUAACAUGGUUAAACCCCAUCUCUACUAAAAAUACAAACAUUAGCCAGGGGUGGUGGCAGGUACCUGUAAUCCCAGCUACUUGGGAGAAUGAUCCAGGAGAAUCACUUGAACCUGGAAGGCGGAGGUUGUAGUGAUCGGAGAUCCUGCUGUUGCACUUUAGCCUGGGGGACGAGAGCAAGAUGUUGUCUCAAAAAAACAAACAACAAAAAAAAAACC